This 379-nucleotide ribosomal RNA is filed under the name uncultured eukaryote. Its description in RNAcentral is "partial 18S ribosomal RNA". It matches the Rfam family "Eukaryotic small subunit ribosomal RNA", at positions 592 to 975 of the family's 1831-position model. The record is from RNAcentral.
CAAUAGCGUAUAUUAAAGUUGUUGCAGUUAAAAAGCUCGUAGUUGGAUUUCUGUCGAGAGCAGCCGGUCGGCCCAGCGGGUUUGUAUCUGGCUUGGUCUUGGCAUCCUCUUGGGGAACGUAUCUGCGCUUGACUGUGUGGUGCGGUACCCAGGACUUUUACUUUGAGGAAAUUAGAGUGUUUCAGGCAGGCAUGCGCCUUGAAUACAUUAGCAUGGAAUAAUAAGAUAGGACUUCGGUUCGAUUUUGUUGGUUUCUUGGACUGAAGUAAUGAUUAAUAGGGAUAGUUGGGGGCAUUCGUAUUUAACUGUCAGAGGUGAAAUUCUUGGAUUUGUUAAAGACGAACUACUGCGAAAGCAUUUGCCAAGGAUGUUUNCAUUG